AAACGUCUUGUCUGGAAGUACAGAUAGAUUUAGCUUGCUUAGGUGUAGGGUUUGGAUCAAGCAGUUAGGGGAAAAGGAGACGGUACAUGGUGACGACCUCCAGCGGCGGCGAUCCCAAUUGACUUUUUUAACCCGCCUAGUGAUAUAGGGAGAGGGAGAGGGAGAGGGAGAGGACAUAUAGAAGGAGAAGCGAAAGCCGCAACUUCUGCUUGCGGGUUUCUAGUUUAGUACUACAGGCCGCCGCCGAGCGACGGUAACACAGAGACAUCGUUGCACCCCAAUAUUGAGAAACCUAGCUGCUAUUCCGACGUAUCCUCUCUUGGUAACAGGAAAUGUCGAGUUCCUAGGUUCCAGAUAACCAUCGUCCUACCGUCAGGACGUCGUCACUACAUUUGAAACUGUACCGGGUACGGACUUCAAGCUCUUUGGAGUUUACCUGUCACGUUAUCUGACUGCAAACUUUACAUACUUAGAGAUGACGAAAAGUUCAUCGUCGCAACGAGACAACUUCUAACAUAUCCUACCGAACACAGUAGAAGUAAUGUAAACAAACCGGCUCGAAGACAAGGUUUGGUACGUAUCGUGGACUCUUUAACCGUUCAACACGAGAACAUAGUCAACAACAUUAACAACACACUAACGAGUAAUGACUGAAAACCCCUUUUACGUUUUAAAAGUACAUUAAAUAAGAGCUUGUCAACUUUUCGAGUUGUCAAUAAUGAUACAUUAUAAUUCAUAUACUCUC
Molecule: ribosomal RNA, 745 nt
Filed under: Triticum aestivum (bread wheat)
Lineage: Eukaryota; Viridiplantae; Streptophyta; Magnoliopsida; Poales; Poaceae
Description: partial small subunit ribosomal RNA
Source: RNAcentral